UUGGUGGCUUCGUAGGUGGGGUGAUCACUGGUGGCUUAGGCGGUAGGGUUGGUGGUGUAGGAGGUUUUAUAGGCGGAGUUACCACAGGAGGUUUAGGAAUAUACGGUGGUGACGAUGGUGGUGUUACAGGCGGAUUUGGUGGGUAAACAAUAGGUGGUUUUGGUACAAAAGGUGGUGGGUUCACUACAGGAGGUUUUGGUACAAAAGGUGGUGGGUUCACUACAGGAGGUUUUGGUACAAAAGGUGGUGGGUUCACUACAGGAGGUUUUGGUAUAUAGGGAGGACGAACGAUCGGAGGUUUGGGAAUGGUGGGUGGUUUGACAAUGGGUGGUUUAGGGACAUGGGGAGGUUUGGGAUGGGGUGGCUUGACAUGAGGAGGCUGUUUUGGUGGUUUAGGGUGAAAGGGUGGCUUUACUUUUGGAGGGUGUCUCGGUGGGUAUUUAGGAGGAUGCCCGGGCGGUGGCUUAGAGGGUGGAGUUGGGUAUGGACAGUAAGGGCAAGCAAGAGAAGUGAGCAAAGUGCCCAAGUUUAGAA
This 534-nucleotide long non-coding RNA is filed under the name Ricinus communis (castor bean). Its description in RNAcentral is "long non-coding RNA (RCOM_LNC001257)". Lineage: Eukaryota; Viridiplantae; Streptophyta; Magnoliopsida; Malpighiales; Euphorbiaceae. The record is from RNAcentral.